This 505-nucleotide ribosomal RNA is filed under the name uncultured bacterium. RNAcentral describes it as "bacterial SSU rRNA". It matches the Rfam family "Bacterial small subunit ribosomal RNA", at positions 777 to 1282 of the family's 1533-position model. The record is from RNAcentral.
AAUAGAUACCCGGGUAGUCCACGCUAUAAACUAUGGAUGCUAGCCGUCGGCAAGCUUGCUUGUCGGUGGCGCAGCUAACGCAUUAAGCAUCCCGCCUGGGGAGUACGGCCGCAAGGUCAAAACUCAAAGGAAUUGACGGGGGCCCGCACAAGCGGUGGAGCAUGUGGUUUAAUUCGACGCAACGCGAAGAACCUUACCAGCUCUUGACAUUCACUGAUCGCCUGGAGAGAUCCGGGAGUCCUAGCAAUAGGCAGUGGGACAGGUGCUGCAUGGCUGUCGUCAGCUCGUGUCGUGAGAUGUUGGGUUAAGUCCCGCAACGAGCGCAACCCUCGCCAUCAGUUGCCAUCAUUAAGUUGGGCACUCUGGUGGGACUGCCGGUGAUAAGCCGGAGGAAGGUGGGGAUGACGUCAAAUCAUCAUGGCCCUUACGGGCUGGGCUACACACGUGCUACAAUGGCGGUGACAAUGCGCAGCCACCUAGCAAUAGGGAGCUAAUCGCAAAAACG